RNAcentral lists this transfer RNA (72 nucleotides) under Camelus ferus (Wild Bactrian camel). It matches the Rfam family "tRNA". Rfam says of the family: Transfer RNA (tRNA) molecules are approximately 80 nucleotides in length. Their secondary structure includes four short double-helical elements and three loops (D, anti-codon, and T loops). The record is from Rfam by way of RNAcentral. Lineage: Eukaryota; Metazoa; Chordata; Mammalia; Artiodactyla; Camelidae.
GAGGGUGUAGCUCAGUGGUAGAGCACAUGCUUAGCAUGCACGAGGUCCUGGGUUCGACCCCCAGCACCUCUG